This 324-nucleotide ribosomal RNA is filed under the name uncultured eukaryote. RNAcentral's name for it is "partial 18S ribosomal RNA". It matches the Rfam family "Eukaryotic small subunit ribosomal RNA", at positions 1470 to 1796 of the family's 1831-position model. The record is from RNAcentral.
CCCUUAGAUGUCCUGGGCUGCACGCGCGCUGCACUGAUGUGUCCAGUAAGCACCUAACCUAUUCCGAGAGGAGCGGGUAACCUUAGCAAAGCACAUCGUGAUGGGGAUAGAUUAUUGCAAUUAUUAGUCUUGAACGAGGAAUUCCUAGUAAGCACAAGUCAUCAGCUUGUGUUGAUUACGUCCCUGCCCUUUGUACACACCGCCCGUCGCUCCUACCGAUUGAAUGUUCCGGUGAGCUCUUCGGACUGCGCGGUCUGCAGUUUCUGCGUUCCGUGCGGAAAGUUGUGCAAACCUUAACAUUUAGAGGAAGGAGAAGUCGUAACA